Molecule: ribosomal RNA, 124 nt
Filed under: uncultured bacterium
Lineage: Bacteria
Description: partial 16S ribosomal RNA
Source: RNAcentral
AGCCGGGGCUUCUUCUACGGCUACCGUCAUUAUCUUCACCGUUGAAAGAGCUUUACAACCCUAGGGCCGUCAUCACUCACGCGGCAUGGCUGGAUCAGGCUUGCGCCCAUUGUCCAAUAUUCCC